AGUGGCGAACGGGUGAGUAACACGUGAGCAAUCUGCCCUUGACUCUGGGAUAACUGCGGGAAACUGUAGCUAAUACCGGAUACGAGGCUCGAAGGCAUCUUCGGGUCUGGAAAGAAUUUCGGUCAAGGAUGAGCUCGCGGCCUAUCAGCUAGUUGGUGAGGUAAUGGCUCACCAAGGCGACGACGGGUAGCCGGCCUGAGAGGGUGACCGGCCACACUGGGACUGAGACACGGCCCAGACUCCUACGGGAGGCAGCAGUGGGGAAUAUUGCACAAUGGGCGAAAGCCUGAUGCAGCAACGCCGCGUGAGGGAUGAAGGCCUUCGGGUUGUAAACCUCUUUUAGCAGGGAAGAAGCGAAAGUGACGGUACCUGCAGAAAAAGCACCGGCUAACUACGUGCCAGCAGCCGCGGUAAUACGUAGGGUGCAAGCGUUGUCCGGAAUUAUUGGGCGUAAAGAGCUCGUAGGCGGUUUGUCGCGUCUGCUGUGAAAACCUGAGGCUCAACCUCAGACCUGCAGUGGGUACGGGCAAGCUAGAGUGCGGUAGGGGAGAUGGGAAUUCCUGGUGUAGCGGUGGAAUGCGCAGAUAUCAGGAGGAACACCGAUGGCGAAGGCACAUCUCUGGGCCGUAACUGACGCUGAGGAGCGAAAGCGUGGGGAGCGAACAGGAUUAGAUACCCUGGUAGUCCACGCCGUAAACGGUGGGUGCUAGU
This 711-nucleotide ribosomal RNA is filed under the name uncultured bacterium. RNAcentral's name for it is "bacterial SSU rRNA". It matches the Rfam family "Bacterial small subunit ribosomal RNA", at positions 94 to 820 of the family's 1533-position model. The record is from RNAcentral.